Molecule: ribosomal RNA, 253 nt
Filed under: uncultured bacterium
Lineage: Bacteria
Description: partial 16S ribosomal RNA
Rfam family: Bacterial small subunit ribosomal RNA
Source: RNAcentral
UACGAGUGCCCCGAGCGUUAUCCGGAAUCAUUGGGCGUAAAGGGUGUGUAGGUGGCCAACUAAGUCAGACGUGAAAUCCCUCAGCUUAACUGGGGAACUGCGUCUGAUACUGGAUGGCUUGAGUUUGGGAGAGGGAUGCGGAAUUCCAGGUGUAGCGGUGAAAUGCGUAGAUAUCUGGAGGAACACCGGUGGCGAAGGCGGCAUCCUGGACCAACACUGACACUGAGGAGCGAAGGCCAGGGGAGCAAACGGG